RNAcentral lists this ribosomal RNA (476 nucleotides) under uncultured bacterium. RNAcentral's name for it is "bacterial SSU rRNA". It matches the Rfam family "Bacterial small subunit ribosomal RNA", at positions 27 to 518 of the family's 1533-position model. The record is from RNAcentral.
GGACGAACGCUGGCGGCACGCCUAACACAUGCAAGUCGAACGGAGAUUGAGAGCUUGCUCUUAAAUCUUAGUGGCGGACGGGUGAGUAACACGUGAGCAACCUGCCUCUGAGAGAGGGAUAGCUUCUGGAAACGGAUGGUAAUACCUCAUAACAUUACAUGACCGCAUGAUCGUGUAAUCAAAGAUUUAUCACUCAGAGAUGGGCUCGCGUCUGAUUAGCUAGUUGGUGAGGUAACGGCCCACCAAGGCGACGAUCAGUAGCCGGACUGAGAGGUUGAACGGCCACAUUGGGACUGAGACACGGCCCAGACUCCUACGGGAGGCAGCAGUGAGGGAUAUUGCACAAUGGAGGAAACUCUUGAUGCAGCGAUGCCGCGUGGAGGAAGAAGGUUUUCGGAUUGUAAACUCCUGUUUCGAGGGACGAUAAUGACGGUACCUCGGGAGGAAGCUCCGGCUAACUACGUGCCAGCCGCAGC